RNAcentral lists this long non-coding RNA (1194 nucleotides) under Canis lupus familiaris (dog). Its description in RNAcentral is "lncRNA (ENSCAFG00030024932.1)". The record is from RNAcentral. Lineage: Eukaryota; Metazoa; Chordata; Mammalia; Carnivora; Canidae.
GCCAAAGCACUGAUUAGUCGUGCACGCCCGCACACACGCGCGCGCACACACACCCCUCCCCGGAGCCCCGGACGCGCCACCACAAAGCAAUUUGUUCACACUAAGUCGCUGCUGCUGCUGCCGCCGCUGGGGAGGGUCUCGCCUCCAAUCCAGGAAGCCGGCGCCCGAGGAGAGGCAGGCGGGGGCGAGAGGCGGUCCCGGCUCGGGCACUGCGGCUCCGCCGGGAGCCCCGGGCUCCCCGCCCCCUCCCCGCUCCGUGGCGUCGCCCCCGCCGCGGCGCCCGCAGCCCCCGGCGCCAGCUCGGGCCGACGGUCCCUACCUGCGGGAGCCCAGCGGCCCGGAGCCCGCGCCAACUCUCGCAUCGCCCUGGAGCGGCGGCCGCGGCCACCCGGAGUCGAGCGCCCCGGUGCGCGGAGGAAGAGGCCACGCAGCGCGCGGGGAGUCGCGGGCCGGCGGCGAGCGGACGAGCGAGCGAGCGCCCCCCCCUCCCCCGCCUGCCUGCAAGGCCAGGUCUCCGCGCCGCGCCAGCCGGGCCCGCCGCGCGCGCCCCGGGCCUGGGCGGGGGACUGCUCCGGGGCGGCCCGGGCGCGGCGCGGUCACCUGCCGGGCAGUCGCCCCGCGUCCGCCCGGGUCUGGCGCCGGCGCGGCGGCGGCGACGCAACGCGCGAACCCCGGGGCGCGGCUGGGGGCAGCGGGGGGCACCGGGGGGCACCGGGGGCGUUUACUACCUUGAAGGGCUCCGCGCCGCUUGUUAAGGCUUCUCCCGGGCACUCAGAAAUGUAUGUCUUCGGGGCUCGGGGGUGUCUUUCCUGGUCCCCUCCUCCGCCCUCCCUCCCCUUCUCGGCUGUUGGGCUCCUUCUCUCCACUCCCAGUUGCAGAGUCGAGCUGCGUUUUUUAAUGAUCCUCCUCCUCCUCCUGCAGCCUGCGCCCGCAGCGCCGCUCUGCCUGAGCCACCGCUUCCCCGGCAGUCAUGUUGAGAGAGAGAGAGAGGGACACGGAUUGGCAGUCGGUCGGCGACUGUCUGUGGGGAGAGAGAGCGGAGCAGAGCAAGAGGAGGGCAGGGGAGGGACGUGGGGAGGCGCUUGCAAGUGUGUGAGUGCGCGGAGUGUGAGUGCGCGGGGAGCGCCGAGGCCCCGGGCGCCAGGCCGCGCUCCCCGACUGCGGAGGGGGCGGCGGCGAGCUCGGCCUUUAUAG